GCGGGUGUGUCGUAAUGGCAGCGAGCAAGGCUUCCAUCCUUGAGGUGCGGGUUCGAUUCCCGCCACCCGCU
Molecule: transfer RNA, 71 nt
Filed under: Chloroflexota bacterium
Lineage: Bacteria; Bacillati; Chloroflexota
Also listed under: 2 other names
Description: Chloroflexi bacterium tRNA-Gly
Rfam family: tRNA
About the family: Transfer RNA (tRNA) molecules are approximately 80 nucleotides in length. Their secondary structure includes four short double-helical elements and three loops (D, anti-codon, and T loops). Further hydrogen bonds mediate the characteristic L-shaped molecular structure. tRNAs have two regions of fundamental functional importance: the anti-codon, which is responsible for specific mRNA codon recognition, and the 3' end, to which the tRNAs corresponding amino acid is attached (by aminoacyl-tRNA synthetases). tRNAs cope with the degeneracy of the genetic code in two manners: having more than one tRNA (with a specific anti-codon) for a particular amino acid; and 'wobble' base-pairing, i.e. permitting non-standard base-pairing at the 3rd anti-codon position.
Source: RNAcentral